UCCCGACACGGGGAGGUAGUGACAAUAAAUACUGAUACMCGGCUCYYYYSGGUCUUGGAAUUGGAAUGAGUACAAUUUAAAUCCCYYAACSAGGAACAAUUGGAGGGCAAGUCUGGUGCCARCAGCCGCSSYMMUYCCMSCUCCAAUAGCGUAUAUUAAAGUUGUUGUGGUUAAAAAGCUCGYAGUUGAACCUUGGGCCUGGCUGGCCGGUCCGCCUCACCGCGUGUACUGGUCCGGCCGGGCCUUUCCCUCUGUGGAACCCCAUGCCCUUCACUGGGUGUGGCGGGGAAACAGGACUUUUACUUUGAAAAAAUUAGAGUGCUCCAGGCCGGCCUAUGCUCGAAUACAUUAGCAUGGAAUAAUAGAAUAGGACGUGUGGUUCUAUUUUGUUGGUUUCUAGGACCGCCGUAAUGAUUAAUAGGGACAGCCGGGGGCAUCAGUAUUCAAUUGUCAGAGGUGAAAUUCUUGGAUUUAUUGAAGACUAACUACUGCGAAAGCAUUUGCCAAGGAUGUUUUCAUUAAUCAG
This 526-nucleotide ribosomal RNA is filed under the name ascomycete sp. 340/HP2. RNAcentral describes it as "partial 18S ribosomal RNA". It matches the Rfam family "Eukaryotic small subunit ribosomal RNA", at positions 451 to 991 of the family's 1831-position model. The record is from RNAcentral. Lineage: Eukaryota; Fungi; Ascomycota.